This 497-nucleotide ribosomal RNA is filed under the name uncultured bacterium. Its description in RNAcentral is "partial 16S ribosomal RNA". It matches the Rfam family "Bacterial small subunit ribosomal RNA", at positions 28 to 507 of the family's 1533-position model. The record is from RNAcentral.
GAUGAACGCUGGCGGCGUGCCUAAUACAUGCAAGUCGAGCGAACAGACGAGGAGUUUGCUCCUCUGACGUUAGCGGCGGACGGGUGAGUAACACGUGGAUAACCUACCUAUAAGACUGGUAUCAUUACGGGAAACCGGAGCUAACACCGGAUAAUAUCUUGAACCGCAUGGUUCAAUAGUGAAAUACGGCUUUGCUGUCACUAAUAGAUGGAUCCGCGCCGCAUUAGCUAGUUGGUAAGGUAACGGCUUACCAAGGCGACGAUGCGUAGCCGACCUGCGAGGGUGAUCGGCCACACUGGAACUGAGACACGGUCCAGACUCCUACGGGAGGCAGCAGUAGGGAAUCUUCCGCAAUGGGCGAAAGCCUGACGGAGCAACGCCGCGUGAGUGAUGAAGGUCUUCGGAUCGUAAAACUCUGUUAUUAGGGAAGAACAAAUGUGUAAGUAACUAUGCACGUCUUGACGGCACCUAAUCAGAAAGCCACGGCUAACUACGUG